UUUAUAACUACUUGGCAAUAGCAACAUUAGAAGCCACAACACAACAAUUUCUAUCCCCAAAAGGUCCUUAUAAAGCACUUACAUACUACUACUAACAACCCAAAAGACUAAAUGAUGAACGGUUAUACAGGUAAUGUUCGGGUUACACGAAUCAACCUGUACAGGUUAAUGCAUAAGCCAUCACGUUCUUUUGUUACGUUGAGUUAUCAAGUGAUUUUGAAGCUAUUCUUUGAUUUUGUUGCCAUUUACUCUUGAAUUAUUUGUAUCCUCAACCCACUAAAGCACUUUCACAAUUUCACAUAAGGGCUUAAUAUCCGAUCGUGGUCCUUCUCACUCUAACAUGUCAAGAUGAGAUCUGCUAUUGUUGGUUGAUAGUUUCCCACCAAAAAUGGUCCGUCUUUUAGACAAGUGGGUUUUAAUUUAGAUAAAGAUAUCAGUAGCUAGCAUCUCCUCCCUCUAGACCUGAUACAAAACACAACUAAGCAUAAAAUACCAAAAAUUACUCAUACUUACAAUUAUAAUUAUUUUUAGGACUUAAAAUCUUUGUAGUUUCAGACUUCAUCUUCAUAAACCGAAUCCGAUUUCACCAGGGACCUCUAUCGCCUUUUGAGGUUCGGCUUUGUGUCCUUAAUAACCUCUUUUUAUUCUUCUUCCUCAUCUACCAAACCUAAAUCAUCCAUUAAUCAUCAACCACUUCGUUCUCAACAUUCUUUCCUCAAUCCUGGUCAGCAGAAUCAUCUCCUCACUUUCAACAUUCCGAUCACCACCACCUGCAACCUCAUCUUCAACCCCCGCAACUUUAUAACCUGCUCCUUCAACAACUCAAUCUUCUCUUUAGAUAAAUCCAAAAGCUCCCCCUUAGCAUCAUCAUAAUGAACCAAAUGCUUAUCGUAACUCUUUAACAAAUGAUUUUACACCACCUUCUUUCCAACACUUGUCUAGUGGCCAAGUUUUUGGUACAAAGAAGUCUAAAAAUAUGCAAGUGAAAGAUAUCAUUCCUGGUGCAAAAUAAAAAAUUAGAAAAGGAGCAAACUCCAUCCGACGUUUCAGUUAUCACUUCCAUACCUCCAUCUACUAUUGACCCCUCCAUGUUCUCUUCUCCAUGGCUGAACUCCAUCACAGCCAACUAAAUCGUCCUUAAGAGAGCAUAGAUCGAUCGCGAAACAGAACGAAGUUAAUGCUGUAUCUCAUAUGAUUCAAAAUGAGGAUUUUAACACAAUUUCUCAAAUUGCGGUUGUGAACAAUGCCGAUGUGGAUGAAACUGAAACCGAUGUGGAUGAUUUGUUAGAAGAUGAUGAGAUUGAAGAUGAAACAUUAGACGAUAACAUUCAAGUCCCUUCAACUUACACCAAUUUAGAAGAAAUAAAUGUGAAUGCGGAUGACAACUGGAUGGUAUCAGGCUCUGAGAAUAAAACGGUGCAUUUUUAGGGCAUGUUUGGAUUGGCUUCUCAAACCAGCUUAUUAGCUUAUUGACUUAUGGAUAAGUCAAUAAGCUGUUUUUAUGUUUGGAUAACCAAGAAGUCCUUUUCAAAAUAGCUUAUUGCAAAGAAGGAAACAUGAGGUUUUGAAAAGCCAAAAUUUCGUGACUUUUGGAUCCAGAAAUGACUUUUCAAAAAUGAAAUUACUAAAUUACCCCUUAUAUUUGUUUCCUUAUAUCCAGAAAUGACUUUUCAAAAAUGAAUUUUCUAAAUUACCUCUUAUAUUUGGCUUUUCCCAUCACAUAAGCUAAUCCAAACACUUUUUUUAAAAACUCCUUUUCAAAAAGUCGUUUUCCCAAAAGUCCUUUUCCCAAAAGUCCUUUUUAACUCUAAUAAGCUUAACCAAACAUGCCCUUAGUUUUGUUUGUAUUUGAUAUUGAAAACGGUAAUGCGUCAAGUUUAAUAUUUGAUUAGCUUUAUCAUGUUUCUUAUUUCAGUGUUUAGAUUUAUUUUAGA
Molecule: long non-coding RNA, 1934 nt
Organism: Helianthus annuus (common sunflower)
Lineage: Eukaryota; Viridiplantae; Streptophyta; Magnoliopsida; Asterales; Asteraceae
Exons: 3
Source: RefSeq, a predicted model, not a curated record